RNAcentral lists this ribosomal RNA (506 nucleotides) under Escherichia coli. RNAcentral's name for it is "bacterial LSU rRNA". It matches the Rfam family "Bacterial large subunit ribosomal RNA", at positions 2437 to 2925 of the family's 2925-position model. The record is from RNAcentral. Lineage: Bacteria; Pseudomonadati; Pseudomonadota; Gammaproteobacteria; Enterobacterales; Enterobacteriaceae.
AAGGGCCAUCGCUUAACGGAUAAAAGGUACUCCGGGGAUAACAGGCUGAUACCGCCCAAGAGUUCAUAUCGACGGCGGUGUUUGGCACCUCGAUGUCGGCUCAUCACAUCCUGGGGCUGAAGUAGGUCCCAAGGGUAUGGCUGUUCGCCAUUUAAAGUGGUACGCGAGCUGGGKUUAGAACGUCGUGAGACAGUUCGGUCCCUAUCUGCCGUGGGCGCUGGAGAACUGAGGGGGGCUGCUCCUAGUACGAGAGGACCGGAGUGGACGCAUCACUGGUGUUCGGGUUGUCAUGCCAAUGGCACUGCCCGGUAGCUAAAUGCGGAAGAGAUAAGUGCUGAAAGCAUCUAAGCACGAAACUUGCCCCGAGAUGAGUUCUCCCUGAGACUUAGAGUCUCCUGAAGGAACGUUGAAGACGACGACGUUGAUAGGCCGGGUGUGUAAGCGCAGCGAUGCGUUGAGCUAACCGGUACUAAUGAACCGUGAGGCUUAACCUUACAACGCCGAAG